Molecule: long non-coding RNA, 1145 nt
Filed under: Brassica napus (rape)
Lineage: Eukaryota; Viridiplantae; Streptophyta; Magnoliopsida; Brassicales; Brassicaceae
Description: long non-coding RNA (BNAP_LNC019205)
Source: RNAcentral
CUCAAAUUUCUGGCUCUGGUAAGUGGACAAGAACAAAACAUCAUGUAGACAGUAAAAUAAAAGAAUCAUACACUCUUAAGAAAGUUAUUCAACCAUCUCUUUGUAAAUGUUCCAACUCUUUGAUCAAUAAAUUUGAUAUUCAAUUAAAGAAAAGGUUCUUGAAAUCUAAAAGCCAUGCUCGUGUCGCUUCAGUCCUUGUUUUAGUGCAGAACUGCAGACCUUCCACUGAGGGAAGUAUAAACUGCCUAGAUAACUUUGAUCAAAUCUCCUUCCACGGGCUUCUAGUCGACUAUCUUCCCUAGUGGAAACAGUUUCUCCUGUGAAGGAAGAGAUAAGUUGUUUAUAUAUUCAUCAACUAAGUUGUUAUAUUUCAUUAACAAAAGGUUUCCUCUUUCUCUGCCUCGAAAGUAUUCUUCUCCCUUCUAUCUCUUCUCUACCACCUUUCCAAAAUACUUGUCUUCAUAUUGCUAACACCAGAGGUUUCCCCCUUAAUGGAUGUGCCAAGUACACAGGACUUGUACCACGUUUCAAAGGAACCAUUGAUCUUGAUUGGUAAAUUACAACAGGUCAGGUAGCAACUUUAGUGAAUGCUCACCGGUCACAAGAAGCAAGUCAGAGAGAAGUUGCUAAAAUAAAGACCACUCUCUUGCACUUGAUCUGCUAUACAAUCACAAAAAAAAAAAAAACUAAUCACACUGCAGAGUAUAAAUAUUCAAUAGACAUCUCAACGUGUUGCCAUCGACAUGGAAAGCCUAACCAAACAAAACAACAUCCACACCAAAGGAAAAACAAACCUGACAGUUUUUCAACAGAAGUUAAGAUCCUUUUUUUUUUAGAAAAGAAGUUAAGAACUUGUAAGAAAUAAAAAGAGGAUAUGUUAAACUAACGAAAGAAAGGGGCAGUAAAUUAAAUAAUUAGCGAAUUACAGAGAAAUAGCAAUACUUUAAAAAUUAUCUGCAGCGGGGUCGGAGAGAGAUAAGAAGCACAGAGGAGGAUCAGAGACAACUUGAAACAAAUCUGAAAGCUAUAUCUUUGACAAAAAAUUCUGAAUCCUACACAAUCUUUUUCAAUAUAUAAACUUCUGAAAAGAUACGACUCUUAAGUGAAAGAUGAUGAAGUUUCCACUGAAACCCUGAAUGUGAAAA